GCGAGCAGGCCGAGGAGCAGUGGCGGCGGGGAAGGGAUGAAGCAGGCCAGCAGGGAGAGGGGCGGCGUAGGGAGGACGGAGAGAAGAGGGGAGAGAAGGGAGCGGUGCCGGCGGCGGUGGGCGCGGCGGGGCGGCGCGGGCACGGUGGAGAGGGGAAGGGCAGGCCGGGCAGUGUGGAGACGACGAGAGGGGAAAGGAGAUGGAUUUGUUUUUUUCUUUUUUACUGAGAAGAGGAGAUGGGAAGAUAUUUUGCUCUGUCUCGCAUGGGUGCCUCAAGAGCCAGCAAGGCAUUCUUUACCUAGGGCUAAAAUUAACUCUAGGUAUAGUUUACUUCAUAUUUGUUUUUGAAUGCAUAUUCUCUUUACCUAGAGUUGCACUGUUUGCACCUCUACUUUACCUAGAAAAGAGAAAUUAGCUCUAAGUAAAGAGUUUUUGCCCUAGGGAAAAUUGCGUUUUCUAGUAGUGAAUGCAGUCUUCACAUCUAACUGCUCAAGCUCAAGAUCAUGCAUAGCAACAACAUCCCAUGUGCCAUUCUUCUCAAGAGAUUGCAUCUCCUCUUGCAUGGCAGACAACCACUUCACACGGUCGCCGGAAACAACUGCUUCAUUAUAUGGGGCUGGUUCACUAUCAUGCUCCACCUAUUCUGCAUAACUCAAAGCAUAAUAAACAAGAUCACACUCUUCAAUUAAACGC
RNAcentral lists this long non-coding RNA (693 nucleotides) under Brachypodium distachyon (stiff brome). Its description in RNAcentral is "long non-coding RNA (BDIS_LNC004778)". The record is from RNAcentral. Lineage: Eukaryota; Viridiplantae; Streptophyta; Magnoliopsida; Poales; Poaceae.